Molecule: transfer RNA, 40 nt
Filed under: Crocodylus johnstoni (Johnstone river crocodile)
Lineage: Eukaryota; Metazoa; Chordata; Crocodylia; Crocodylidae
Description: Crocodylus johnsoni (Johnstone river crocodile) partial tRNA-Arg
Source: RNAcentral
CCUAUAACCAAAGGAGCUAGUCCAAGCUCUAAGACUUCUA